GAUAAGAACGCAGCGAAAUGCGAUAAGUAAUGUGAAUUGCAGAAUUCAGUGAAUCAUCGAAUCUUUGAACGCACAUUGCGCCCGCCAGUAUUCUGGCGGGCAUGCCUGUUCGAGCGUCAUUUCAACCAUCAAGCCCCAGGCUUGUGUUGGGGACCUGCGGCUGCCGCAGGCCCUGAAAACCAGUGGCGGGCUCGCUGUCACACCGGGCGUAGUAGAUUUUAUCUCGCUCAGGGCGUGCUGCGGGUUCCGGCCGUUAAAAAGCCUUUUUUACCCAAGGUUGACCUCGGAUCAGGUAGGAAGACCCGCUGAACUUAAGCAUAUCAAUAAGCGGAGGA
Molecule: unclassified non-coding RNA, 335 nt
Filed under: soil metagenome
Description: partial contains 5.8S ribosomal RNA, internal transcribed spacer 2, and large subunit ribosomal RNA
Rfam family: 5.8S ribosomal RNA (bases 4-119)
Source: RNAcentral